Non-coding RNA from Camelina sativa (false flax), 148 nucleotides. The record is from RefSeq and is a predicted model, not a curated record. NCBI's taxonomy places the organism in Eukaryota, Viridiplantae, Streptophyta, Magnoliopsida, Brassicales, Brassicaceae.
UCUCUCUCUCUCUCUCUCUCUCUCCGUUUCACCCCAUUAUAGAGAAUCCAGUGAAUCAACCAACAAACAGAUUUGAUUACUUCUUCUUCCUACAAAGAUCUGUGUCUUUUUUUAAAAAUUGUCGAAAGAUAUAAUAUUAUGGCGGAGG